This 16770-nucleotide unclassified non-coding RNA is filed under the name Sus scrofa (pig). RNAcentral describes it as "12S rRNA from Sus scrofa (PDB 6YDW, chain BA)". The stretch from base 1176 to 2737 matches the Rfam family "Bacterial large subunit ribosomal RNA". The record is from RNAcentral. Lineage: Eukaryota; Metazoa; Chordata; Mammalia; Artiodactyla; Suidae.
GUUAAUGUAGCUUAAAUUAUCAAAGCAAGGCACUGAAAAUGCCUAGAUGAGCCUCACAGCUCCAUAAACACACAGGUUUGGUCCUGGCCUUUCUAUUAAUUCUUAAUAAAAUUACACAUGCAAGUAUCCGCGCCCCGGUGAGAAUGCCCUCCAGAUCUUAAAGAUCAAAAGGAGCAGGUAUCAAGCACACCUAUAACGGUAGCUCAUAACGCCUUGCUCAACCACACCCCCACGGGAAACAGCAGUGAUAAAAAUUAAGCCAUGAACGAAAGUUUGACUAAGUUAUAUUAAUUAGAGUUGGUAAAUCUCGUGCCAGCCACCGCGGUCAUACGAUUAACCCAAAUUAAUAGAUCCACGGCGUAAAGAGUGUUUAAGAAAAAAAAUCACAAUAGAGUUAAAUUAUAACUAAGCUGUAAAAAGCCCUAGUUAAAAUAAAAUAACCCACGAAAGUGACUCUAAUAAUCCUGACACACGAUAGCUAGGACCCAAACUGGGAUUAGAUACCCCACUAUGCCUAGCCCUAAACCCAAAUAGUUACAUAACAAAACUAUUCGCCAGAGUACUACUCGCAACUGCCUAAAACUCAAAGGACUUGGCGGUGCUUCACAUCCACCUAGAGGAGCCUGUUCUAUAAUCGAUAAACCCCGAUAGACCUUACCAACCCUUGCCAAUUCAGCCUAUAUACCGCCAUCUUCAGCAAACCCUAAAAAGGAACAAUAGUAAGCACAAUCAUAGCACAUAAAAACGUUAGGUCAAGGUGUAGCUUAUGGGUUGGAAAGAAAUGGGCUACAUUUUCUACAUAAGAAUAUCCACCACACGAAAGUUUUUAUGAAACUAAAAACCAAAGGAGGAUUUAGCAGUAAAUCAAGAAUAGAGUGCUUGAUUGAAUAAGGCCAUGAAGCACGCACACACCGCCCGUCACCCUCCUCAAGCAUGUAGUAAUAAAAAUAACCUAUAUUCAAUUACACAACCAUGCAAGAAGAGACAAGUCGUAACAAGGUAAGCAUACUGGAAAGUGUGCUUGGAUUACCAAAGCAUAGCUUAAACUAAAGCACCUAGUUUACACCUAGAAGAUCCCACAAUGUAUGGGUACUUUGAACCAAAGCUAGCUCAACAUACUAAACAAAUACAAAAAUACACCAAAAUAAAAUAAAACAUUCACCUAACAUUAAAGUAUAGGAGAUAGAAAUUUUUAUCCUGACGCUAUAGAGAUAGUACCGUAAGGGAAAGAUGAAAGAAUAAAAUAAAAGUAAAAAAAAGCAAAGAUUACCCCUUCUACCUUUUGCAUAAUGGUUUAACCAGAAAAAAUCUAACAAAGAGAACUUUAGCUAGAUACCCCGAAACCAGACGAGCUACCCAUGAGCAGUUUAAAAGAACCAACUCAUCUAUGUGGCAAAAUAGUGAGAAGACUUGUAGGUAGAGGUGAAAAGCCUAACGAGCCUGGUGAUAGCUGGUUGUCCGAGAAAGAAUUUUAGUUCAACCUUAAAAAUACCCCAAAAACCCUAAAUUCCAAUGUAUUUUUAAGAGAUAGUCUAAAAAGGUACAGCUUUUUAGAAACGGAUACAACCUUGACUAGAGAGUAAAAUCUUAAUACUACCAUAGUAGGCCUAAAAGCAGCCAUCAAUUGAGAAAGCGUUAAAGCUCAACAAAUUCACCAACAUAAUCCCAAAAACUAAUAACAAACUCCUAGCCCAAUACCGGACUAAUCUAUUGAAACAUAGAAGCAAUAAUGUUAAUAUGAGUAACAAGAAGCCUUUCUCCUCGCACACGCUUACAUCAGUAACUAAUAAUAUACUGAUAAUUAACAACCAAUAAACCAAAACAACACUAAAACGUUUAUUAAUUACAUUGUUAACCCAACACAGGAGUGCACCAAGGAAAGAUUAAAAGAAGUAAAAGGAACUCGGCAAACACAAACCCCGCCUGUUUACCAAAAACAUCACCUCUAGCAUUACUAGUAUUAGAGGCAAUGCCUGCCCAGUGACACCAGUUUAACGGCCGCGGUAUUCUGACCGUGCAAAGGUAGCAUAAUCACUUGUUCUCCAAAUAAGGACUUGUAUGAAUGGCCACACGAGGGUUUUACUGUCUCUUACUUCCAAUCAGUGAAAUUAACCUUCCCGUGAAGAGGCGGGAAUAAAAAAAUAAGACGAGAAGACCCUAUGGAGCUUUAAUUAACUAUUCCAAAAGUUAAACAACUCAACCACAAAGGGAUAAAACAUAACUUAACAUGGACUAGCAAUUUCGGUUGGGGUGACCUCGGAGUACAAAAAACCCUCCGAGUGAUUUUAAUCUAGACAAACCAGUCAAAAUAACCAUAACAUCACUUAUUGAUCCAAAAUUUUGAUCAACGGAACAAGUUACCCUAGGGAUAACAGCGCAAUCCUGUUCUAGAGUUCCUAUCGACAAUAGGGUUUACGACCUCGAUGUUGGAUCAGGACACCCAAAUGGUGCAACCGCUAUUAAAGGUUCGUUUGUUCAACGAUUAAAGUCCUACGUGAUCUGAGUUCAGACCGGAGCAAUCCAGGUCGGUUUCUAUCUAUUAUAAAUUUCUCCCAGUACGAAAGGACAAGAGAAAUGGGACCAACCUCACAAACGCGUCUCAGAGAUAAUUAAUGAUUUAAUCUUAACCUAAUUAACUCAUAAUAAAUCCAGCCCUAGAACAGGGCACAUUAGGGUGGCAGAGACCGGUAAUUGCGUAAAACUUAAACCUUUAUUACCAGAGGUUCAACUCCUCUCCCUAAUAACAUGUUCAUAAUUAAUAUUCUAAGCCUAAUUAUUCCUAUCCUACUGGCCGUAGCAUUCCUCACCCUAGUAGAACGAAAAGUGCUAGGUUAUAUGCAACUACGAAAAGGACCCAACGUUGUAGGCCCCUACGGCCUACUCCAACCCAUCGCCGAUGCCCUAAAACUAUUCACCAAAGAACCCCUACGACCAGCCACAUCCUCAAUCUCCAUGUUCAUUAUUGCACCAAUCCUAGCCUUAUCCCUAGCACUAACAAUAUGAGUUCCACUACCAAUACCCUACCCUCUAAUCAACAUAAACCUAGGAGUACUAUUCAUGCUAGCCAUGUCAAGCCUAGCAGUCUACUCUAUCCUAUGAUCAGGAUGAGCAUCCAACUCAAAAUACGCACUCAUCGGGGCCCUACGAGCAGUAGCCCAAACAAUCUCAUAUGAAGUAACACUAGCAAUCAUCCUACUAUCAGUACUCCUAAUAAAUGGAUCAUAUACUCUAUCAACCCUAAUCACAACACAAGAGCACAUUUGAAUAAUCUUUACAUCCUGACCCCUAGCCAUAAUAUGAUUUAUCUCAACCCUAGCAGAAACCAACCGAGCCCCGUUCGACCUUACAGAAGGAGAGUCAGAACUUGUAUCAGGCUUUAACGUAGAAUAUGCAGCCGGACCUUUCGCCAUAUUCUUCAUAGCAGAAUAUGCCAACAUCAUCAUAAUAAAUGCAUUUACAGCAAUUCUCUUCCUAGGAGCAUCCCACGACCCACACACACCAGAACUAUAUACAAUCAACUUCGUACUAAAAACACUCGCAUUAACAAUCACCUUCCUAUGAAUCCGAGCAUCAUACCCACGAUUCCGAUACGACCAACUAAUACAUUUACUAUGAAAAAGCUUCCUGCCCCUAACACUAGCUCUAUGUAUAUGACACAUCUCACUCCCUAUUAUAACAGCAAGCAUUCCCCCACAAUCAUAGAAAUAUGUCUGAUAAAAGAGUUACUUUGAUAGAGUAAAAAAUAGAGGUUCAAACCCUCUUAUUUCUAGAACAAUAGGACUCGAACCUAAACCUGAGAAUUCAAAAUUCUCCGUGCUACCAAAAUACACCACAUUCUACAGUAAGGUCAGCUAAGCUAAGCUAUCGGGCCCAUACCCCGAAAAUGUUGGUUCAUACCCUUCCCAUACUAAUUAAUCCCAUUAUCUACACUACCCUUAUCAUAACAGUAAUGUCCGGAACCAUACUAGUAAUAAUCAGCUCACACUGACUACUCAUCUGAAUCGGAUUCGAAAUAAACCUAUUAGCAAUAAUCCCAGUAUUAAUAAAAAAUUUUAACCCACGAGCCACAGAAGCAGCCACAAAAUAUUUCCUAACACAAGCCACAGCCUCCAUAAUACUAAUAAUAGCCAUCAUCAUCAACCUCCUAUAUUCUGGCCAAUGGACCAUUACAAAAAUAUUUAACCCAGUAGCAAUAACAAUAAUAACCAUGGCCCUAGCCAUAAAACUAGGACUCUCACCUUUCCACUUCUGAGUCCCAGAAGUAACCCAAGGCAUUUCACUACAAGCAGGCCUACUGUUACUAACAUGACAAAAACUAGCCCCAUUAUCAGUACUAUGCCAAAUCUCACAAUCAAUCAACCCAAACCUAAUACUAACUAUAGCCAUAUUAUCAAUUUUAAUCGGAGGGUGAGGAGGGCUAAAUCAAACCCAACUUCGAAAAAUCAUAGCAUACUCAUCAAUCGCACACAUAGGAUGAAUGACAGCAGUAUUACCAUACAACACAACCAUAACAAUCUUAAACCUACUAAUUUACAUCACAAUAACACUAGCAAUAUUCAUACUAUUAAUCCACAGCUCAGCAACCACAACUUUAUCCCUAUCCCAUACAUGAAACAAAAUACCCGUCAUCACAAGCCUAAUAAUAGUAACCCUACUCUCAAUAGGAGGCCUGCCUCCACUAUCAGGAUUUAUGCCAAAAUGAAUAAUUAUUCAAGAAAUAACAAAAAAUGAAAGCAUCAUCAUGCCAACACUCAUAGCAAUAACAGCACUGCUAAACCUCUAUUUCUACAUACGACUAGCCUACUCCUCCUCACUGACUAUGUUCCCAUCCACCAACAACAUAAAAAUAAAAUGACAAUUCGAACACACAAAACAAAUAAAAUUACUUCCCACAAUAAUUGUAUUAUCAACACUAGUCCUACCUAUAACACCAGCCCUCUCGUCCCUAAACUAGGAAUUUAGGUUAACACAGACCAAGAGCCUUCAAAGCUCUAAGUAAGUACAAAGUACUUAACUCCUGAAAACCUAAGGACUGCAGGACUUAUCCUACAUCAAUUGAAUGCAAAUCAAACACUUUAAUUAAGCUAAAUCCUCACUAGAUUGGUGGGAUUACAUACCCACGAAACUUUUAGUUAACAGCUAAACACCCUAAUCAACUGGCUUCAAUCUACUUCUCCCGCCGCAGGAAAAAAAAGGCGGGAGAAGUCCCGGCAGAAUUGAAGCUGCUUCUUUGAAUUUGCAAUUCAACAUGAUAUUCACCACGGAACUGGCAAAAAGAGGGCUUAACCUCUGUCUUUAGAUUUACAGUCUAAUGCUUACUCAGCCAUUUUACCUAUGUUCGUAAAUCGUUGACUAUACUCAACAAACCACAAAGACAUCGGCACCCUGUACCUACUAUUUGGUGCCUGAGCAGGAAUAGUGGGCACUGCCUUGAGCCUACUAAUUCGCGCUGAACUAGGUCAGCCCGGAACCCUACUUGGCGAUGAUCAAAUCUAUAAUGUAAUUGUUACAGCUCAUGCCUUUGUAAUAAUCUUCUUUAUAGUAAUACCCAUUAUGAUUGGGGGUUUUGGUAACUGACUCGUACCGCUAAUAAUCGGAGCUCCCGAUAUGGCCUUUCCACGUAUAAACAACAUAAGUUUCUGACUACUUCCACCAUCCUUCCUAUUACUUCUGGCAUCCUCAAUAGUAGAAGCCGGAGCGGGUACUGGAUGAACUGUAUACCCACCUUUAGCUGGAAACUUAGCCCAUGCAGGGGCUUCAGUUGAUUUAACAAUUUUCUCCCUACACCUUGCAGGUGUAUCAUCAAUCCUAGGGGCUAUUAAUUUCAUUACCACAAUUAUUAACAUAAAACCCCCCGCAAUGUCUCAAUACCAAACACCCCUGUUUGUCUGAUCAGUACUAAUCACAGCCGUACUACUUCUACUAUCCCUGCCAGUUCUAGCAGCUGGCAUUACUAUACUACUGACAGACCGCAACCUGAACACAACCUUUUUUGAUCCAGCAGGUGGUGGAGACCCUAUCCUUUAUCAACACUUGUUCUGAUUUUUCGGACACCCAGAAGUAUACAUUCUCAUCUUACCAGGAUUCGGAAUAAUCUCCCACAUUGUAACCUACUAUUCAGGUAAAAAAGAACCAUUUGGAUAUAUAGGCAUAGUAUGAGCCAUAAUGUCCAUUGGAUUCUUAGGUUUUAUUGUAUGGGCUCACCACAUAUUCACCGUAGGAAUAGACGUAGAUACCCGAGCAUACUUUACAUCUGCUACAAUAAUCAUUGCUAUUCCCACUGGAGUAAAAGUAUUUAGUUGAUUAGCUACCCUGCACGGCGGCAAUAUUAAAUGAUCACCCGCAAUACUAUGAGCUCUGGGCUUCAUCUUCCUAUUCACCGUAGGAGGUCUAACGGGCAUUGUACUAGCUAAUUCCUCCCUAGACAUUGUAUUACAUGAUACAUAUUAUGUAGUCGCACACUUCCACUAUGUCUUAUCUAUAGGAGCAGUGUUCGCCAUUAUAGGGGGCUUUGUUCACUGAUUCCCCCUAUUCUCCGGGUACACACUCAACCAAGCAUGAGCAAAAAUUCACUUUGUAAUCAUAUUCGUAGGAGUAAAUAUAACAUUCUUUCCACAACACUUUCUAGGACUAUCCGGAAUACCUCGACGAUACUCCGAUUAUCCUGACGCAUACACAGCAUGAAAUACUAUUUCCUCAAUAGGCUCAUUCAUCUCACUAACAGCAGUGAUAUUAAUAAUCUUCAUUAUCUGAGAAGCAUUCGCAUCAAAACGAGAAGUAUCUGCAGUAGAACUGACAAGCACAAACCUAGAAUGACUACACGGAUGUCCUCCUCCCUAUCACACAUUUGAAGAACCAACAUAUAUCAACCUAAAAUAAGCAUAAGAAAGGAAGGAAUCGAACCCUCUCCCACUGGUUUCAAGCCAACGUCAUAACCACUAUGUCUUUCUCGAUAAUCGAGGUAUUAGUAAAAUAUUACAUAACUUUGUCGAAGUUAUAUUAUAGGUGAAAGCCCUAUAUGCCUCUAUGGCUUACCCUUUCCAACUAGGCUUCCAAGACGCCACUUCACCCAUCAUAGAAGAACUCCUACACUUUCACGAUCACACCUUAAUAAUCGUAUUCUUAAUCAGCUCUUUAGUGUUAUAUAUCAUUUCACUCAUACUAACAACAAAACUGACACACACUAGCACAAUGGAUGCCCAAGAAGUAGAAACAAUUUGAACAAUCCUACCCGCUAUUAUUCUAAUUCUUAUUGCCCUUCCAUCAUUACGAAUCCUUUAUAUAAUAGACGAAAUUAAUAACCCAGCCUUAACCGUAAAAACCAUAGGACAUCAAUGAUACUGAAGCUACGAGUAUACAGACUAUGAAGACCUCACCUUUGACUCAUAUAUAAUCCCCACAUCAGAUCUUAAACCUGGAGAAAUACGACUACUAGAAGUAGACAAUCGAGUUGUUCUACCAAUAGAAAUAACAAUCCGAAUAUUAGUAUCCUCUGAAGACGUACUGCACUCAUGAGCCGUCCCAUCCCUCGGUUUAAAAACAGAUGCUAUCCCAGGACGACUAAACCAAACAACUCUAAUAUCCACACGACCUGGCCUUUAUUACGGACAGUGCUCAGAAAUCUGUGGAUCAAACCACAGCUUCAUGCCCAUUGUACUUGAACUUGUCCCAUUAAAGUACUUCGAAAAAUGGUCAACAUCAAUAUUAACAGGUUCAUUGAGAAGCUAGUCAGCACUAACCUUUUAAGUUAGAGAUCGGGAGCCUAAAUCUCCCCUCAAUGGUAUGCCACAACUAGAUACAUCCACAUGAUUCAUUACAAUUACAUCAAUAAUUAUAACAUUAUUUAUUUUAUUCCAACUAAAAAUCUCAAACUACUCAUACCCAGCAAGCCCAGAAUCAAUUGAACUCAAAACUCAAAAACAUAGCACCCCUUGAGAAAUAAAAUGAACGAAAAUCUAUUUGCCUCUUUUAUUGCCCCCACGAUAAUAGGACUACCUAUUGUCACCUUAAUUAUUAUAUUCCCAAGCUUACUAUUCCCAACACCCAAACGACUCAUUAAUAACCGCACAAUCUCGAUCCAACAAUGAUUAAUCCAACUAACAUCCAAACAAAUAAUAGCUAUUCACAACCAAAAAGGCCAAACCUGAUCACUAAUACUUAUAUCUCUAAUUAUAUUCAUCGGCUCAACAAACAUCCUAGGCCUACUACCACACUCAUUCACACCCACCACACAACUAUCAAUAAACCUGGGUAUAGCAAUCCCCCUAUGAUCAGCAACCGUAUUCACAGGAUUCCGCUAUAAAACCAAAACAUCACUAGCCCACUUUCUACCACAAGGAACACCCGCCCUAUUAAUUCCUAUGCUCGUAAUUAUUGAAACUAUUAGCCUAUUUAUUCAACCAGUAGCCCUAGCCGUACGACUGACAGCCAACAUUACAGCAGGGCACCUAUUAAUUCAUCUAAUUGGAGGGGCCACAUUAGCACUACUCAACAUCAACACUAUAACAGCUUUUAUCACAUUUACUAUCCUCAUUCUAUUAACUAUUCUUGAAUUUGCAGUAGCUCUGAUCCAAGCUUAUGUGUUUACACUGCUAGUAAGCUUAUACCUACACGACAAUACAUAAUGACCCACCAAACACAUGCAUACCACAUAGUAAACCCAAGCCCAUGACCACUUACCGGAGCCCUAUCAGCCCUUUUAAUAACAUCAGGCCUAACUAUAUGAUUCCACUUUAACUCUAUACUCUUACUAUCUCUAGGACUAUUAACCAAUACUUUGACAAUAUACCAAUGGUGACGAGACAUUAUUCGAGAGAGCACUUUCCAAGGCCACCACACAUCAGUUGUCCAAAAAGGCUUACGAUACGGUAUAAUUUUAUUUAUUAUUUCCGAGGUUCUGUUCUUCACUGGAUUCUUUUGAGCUUUCUACCACUCAAGCCUAGCACCAACACCCGAAUUAGGAGGUUGCUGACCACCAACAGGAAUUCACCCACUAAACCCCCUAGAAGUACCCCUACUAAACACCUCAAUCCUCCUCGCCUCAGGAGUAUCCAUUACCUGAGCCCAUCACAGCCUAAUAGAAGGGGACCGAAAACACAUAAUCCAAGCACUAUCCAUCACCAUUGCACUAGGCGUAUACUUCACCCUCCUCCAAGCCUCAGAAUAUUACGAAGCACCAUUCACAAUCUCCGACGGAGUGUAUGGAUCCACUUUCUUUGUGGCUACAGGGUUUCACGGGUUGCACGUAAUCAUCGGAUCUACUUUCCUAGCAGUAUGCUUACUACGACAACUAAAAUUCCACUUCACAUCCAACCACCACUUCGGCUUUGAAGCCGCAGCCUGAUACUGACACUUCGUAGAUGUAGUUUGACUAUUCCUUUACGUAUCAAUCUAUUGAUGAGGAUCCUACUCUUUUAGUAUUAAGUAGUACAAUUGACUUCCAAUCAAUCAGUUUCGGUAAACUCCGAAAAAGAGUAAUAAAUAUUAUACUAACACUACUCACAAACGUAACCCUAGCCUCCCUACUCGUACUAAUCGCAUUCUGACUACCCCAACUAAACGCAUAUUCAGAAAAAACAAGCCCAUAUGAAUGUGGAUUUGACCCCAUAGGAUCAGCACGCCUCCCAUUCUCAAUAAAAUUUUUCCUAGUAGCCAUUACAUUUCUCCUUUUUGAUCUAGAAAUCGCCCUUCUCCUUCCCCUACCAUGAGCAUCCCAAACAAACAAUCUAAAAACAAUACUUACAAUAGCACUAUUCCUUCUUAUCCUACUAGCAGCAAGCCUAGCAUACGAAUGAACCCAAAAAGGCCUAGAAUGAGCAGAAUAUGAUAAUUAGUUUAAAACAAAACAAAUGAUUUCGACUCAUUAGACUAUGAUUUACUUCAUAAUUAUCAAGUGCCAUUAGUAUAUAUAAACAUCAUUAUAGCAUUCGCGAUCGCCCUUGCAGGGUUACUUAUAUAUCGAUCUCACUUAAUAUCUUCACUACUAUGCCUAGAAGGAAUGAUACUAUCACUAUUCAUCAUAUCGACUCUAAUUAUCCUAAACACACACUUCACCCUAGCUAACAUAAUACCCAUUAUUUUACUAGUGUUUGCAGCCUGCGAAGCUGCACUAGGCCUGUCACUACUAGUAAUAGUAUCCAACACAUACGGUACCGAUUACGUCCAAAACUUAAACCUUUUACAAUGCUAAAAAUUAUUAUCCCAACAACAAUACUACUACCCAUAACAUGAAUAUCUAAACACAACAUAAUCUGAAUCAAUGCAACAGUACAUAGUCUCCUCAUUAGCCUGAUCAGUCUAUCCCUACUAAACCAACUAGGCGAAAACAGCCUUAAUUUUUCCUUAACAUUCUUCUCCGACUCACUAUCAGCACCCCUACUAGUUCUAACCACAUGACUCCUCCCCCUUAUACUAAUAGCUAGCCAAUCUCACCUAUCAAAAGAAACCACAACCCGAAAAAAACUAUAUAUUACCAUACUAAUCCUACUACAACUAUUCCUAAUUAUAACCUUCACCGCCACCGAACUAAUCCUAUUCUAUAUCCUAUUCGAAGCAACACUAGUACCCACACUAAUUAUCAUCACACGCUGAGGAAACCAAACAGAACGACUCAAUGCAGGACUUUAUUUCCUAUUCUACACCCUAGCAGGAUCCCUACCACUGCUAGUAGCACUAGUUUAUAUCCAAAAUACCACAGGCUCACUAAACUUCUUAAUUAUCCAUUACUGAUCCCACCCAUUAUCCAACUCUUGAUCAAACAUUUUUAUAUGAUUAGCAUGCAUCAUAGCCUUCAUAGUAAAAAUACCUCUGUACGGACUCCAUCUUUGACUGCCAAAAGCCCAUGUAGAAGCCCCCAUUGCAGGUUCAAUAGUACUUGCAGCCGUACUGCUAAAACUCGGAGGCUAUGGCAUAAUGCGAAUCACUACUAUUCUAAACCCACUAACAAACUACAUAGCCUAUCCAUUCCUCAUGCUUUCCAUAUGAGGCAUAAUCAUAACCAGCUCUAUCUGCUUACGUCAAACCGACCUAAAAUCCUUAAUCGCCUAUUCAUCAGUAAGUCAUAUAGCACUUGUAAUCGUAGCAAUCAUAAUUCAAACCCCCUGAAGCUUCAUAGGGGCCACAGCUCUCAUAAUUGCCCACGGACUAACAUCCUCCAUACUAUUCUGCCUAGCCAACACUAACUAUGAACGAGUACACAGCCGAACCAUAAUCCUGGCCCGAGGACUGCAAACACUCCUACCACUCAUAGCAACAUGAUGACUAGUAGCAAGCCUCACAAACCUAGCCCUACCCCCAUCCAUCAAUCUAAUCGGAGAAUUAUUUAUCAUCACAGCAUCAUUUUCAUGAUCCAACAUCACAAUUAUUCUCAUAGGAAUAAACAUAAUAAUUACAGCCCUCUACUCUCUCUACAUACUAAUUACUACACAACGAGGAAAAUACACCCACCACAUUAACAACAUCAAACCCUCAUUCACACGAGAAAACGCCCUCAUAGCCCUACAUAUUCUACCACUACUACUACUGACCUUAAACCCUAAAAUAAUCCUAGGACCCCUUUACUGUAGAUAUAGUUUAAUAAAAACCCUAGAUUGUGAAUCUAGUAAUAGAAAAUUAAAUAUUCUUAUCUACCGAAAAAGUUUGCAAGAACUGCUAACUCAUGCUUCCACACUUAAAAAUGUGGCUUUUUCAACUUUUAAAGGAUAACAGCUAUCCGUUGGUCUUAGGAACCAAAAAAUUGGUGCAACUCCAAAUAAAAGUAAUAAACCCAUUCGCCUCACUCACAUUAACCACACUAACUAUUCUAACCAUCCCAAUUAUAAUAUCCAACUCAAACAUCUACAAAACUAACCUUUACCCUAACUACGUAAAAACCACCGUAUCCUACGCCUUCACUCUCAGCCUAGUCCCCUUACUAAUAUUUAUACACACAGGCCAAGAAAUAAUCAUUUCAAACUGACAUUGAAUAACCCUACAGACCGUAGAACUCUCUCUUAGCUUCAAAAUAGACUAUUUCUCAGUAAUAUUCAUUCCCGUAGCACUAUUCGUCACAUGAUCAAUUAUAGAAUUCUCCAUAUGAUACAUACACUCAGACCCCUUCAUCAACCGAUUCUUUAAAUACCUACUACUAUUCUUAAUCACUAUAAUAAUCCUCGUAACCGCCAACAACCUCUUCCAACUAUUUAUCGGAUGAGAAGGCGUAGGAAUCAUAUCAUUCCUGCUAAUUGGAUGAUGACACGGACGAACAGACGCCAACACAGCUGCACUACAAGCAAUCCUAUACAACCGCAUCGGAGACAUUGGAUUUGUCCUAUCCAUAGCAUGAUUCCUAACCCACUCAAACGCAUGAGAUCUUCAACAAAUCUUUAUACUAAACAAUGAAUGCCCAAACAUACCAUUAAUCGGCCUACUCCUAGCUGCAGCAGGAAAAUCAGCUCAAUUCGGACUACAUCCCUGAUUGCCCUCAGCAAUAGAAGGCCCAACUCCCGUAUCAGCAUUACUACACUCCAGUACAAUAGUAGUAGCAGGGGUAUUUCUACUCAUCCGCUUCUACCCCUUAAUAGAAACUAACAAACUAGUUCAAACUAUAACACUAUGCCUAGGAGCUAUCACCACCUUAUUUACAGCACUAUGUGCAAUCACACAAAAUGAUAUCAAAAAAAUCGUAGCCUUCUCAACUUCAAGCCAACUAGGCUUGAUAAUAGUGACAAUCGGCAUCAACCAACCCCACCUAGCAUUUCUCCACAUCUGCAUGCACGCUUUCUUCAAAGCAAUACUAUUCAUAUGCUCCGGAUCCAUUAUCCACAGCCUCAAUGACGAACAAGACAUCCGAAAAAUAGGCGGACUGUAUAAAGCAAUACCAUUCACAACAACAGCACUAAUUAUUGGAAGCCUGGCAUUAACAGGAAUGCCUUAUCUCACAGGAUUCUACUCAAAAGACCUUAUCAUUGAAGCAGUAAAUAUAUCCUACACAAACGCCUGAGCCCUACUAAUAACAUUAAUUGCCACAUCCCUAACCGCUGCCUACAGCACUCGAAUUAUCUUCUUUGCAUUCCUAGGGAAACCACGUUUCCCACCCCUAGUCCUAAUUAAUGAAAAUAACCCCCUACUAAUUAACUCUAUUAAACGCCUUUUAAUCGGAAGCAUUUUCGCUGGCUUUAUCAUCUCCAACAACAUCCCACCAAUAACAGUACCAAACACAACAAUACCCCUUUACAUAAAAAUAACAGCCCUAAUCGUAACCAUCAUAGGAUUCAUACUAGCCCUAGAGCUAAACAACACAACCUACUACCUGAAAUUUAAAUACCCCUCACAAACAUACAAAUUUUCCAACAUACUAGGAUAUUAUCCCUCCAUCAUACACCGCCUACCAACAUACCACAACCUAUCUAUAAGCCAAAAAUCCGCAUCAUCAUUACUAGACUUAAUUUGACUAGAAACUAUUCUACCAAAAACAACCUCUUUCAUCCAAAUAAAAAUAUCAAUCAUAGUAUCAAAUCAAAAAGGCCUAAUCAAACUAUACUUUCUCUCCUUCCUAAUCACUAUUAUAAUCAGCAUAACACUAUUUAAUUACCACGAGUAAUCUCUAUAAUAACAACAACUCCAAUAAGCAAUGAUCAACCAGUAACAAUAACUAAUCAAGUACCAUAACUAUAUAAAGCAGCAAUCCCCAUAGCUUCCUCACUAAAAAACCCCGAAUCACCCGUAUCAUAAAUUACUCAAUCCCCAAGCCCAUUAAACUUAAAGAUAAUUUCUACUUCCUCUUCCUUCAACGCAUAAUAAACCAUACAAAACUCCAUUAUUAAACCAGAAACAAAUGCUCCAAAAACAGUCUUAUUAGAAACUCAAACCUCAGGAUACAUCUCAGUAGCCAUAGCAGUAGUAUAACCAAAAACCACCAACAUACCCCCCAAAUAAAUCAAAAACACCAUUAAACCUAAAAAAGACCCACCAAAAUUCAAUACAAUACCACAACCAACUCCACCACUUACAAUCAACCCAAGUCCACCAUAAAUAGGAGAGGGCUUAGAAGAAAAACCAACAAACCCAAUAACAAAAAUAGUACUUAAAAUAAAUGCAAUAUACAUUGUCAUUAUUCUCACAUGGAAUUUAACCACGACCAAUGACAUGAAAAAUCAUCGUUGUACUUCAACUACAAGAACCUUAAUGACCAACAUCCGAAAAUCACACCCACUAAUAAAAAUUAUCAACAACGCAUUCAUUGACCUCCCAGCCCCCUCAAACAUCUCAUCAUGAUGAAACUUCGGUUCCCUCUUAGGCAUCUGCCUAAUCUUGCAAAUCCUAACAGGCCUGUUCUUAGCAAUACAUUACACAUCAGACACAACAACAGCUUUCUCAUCAGUUACACACAUUUGUCGAGACGUAAAUUACGGAUGAGUUAUUCGCUAUCUACAUGCAAACGGAGCAUCCAUAUUCUUUAUUUGCCUAUUCAUCCACGUAGGCCGAGGUCUAUACUACGGAUCCUAUAUAUUCCUAGAAACAUGAAACAUUGGAGUAGUCCUACUAUUUACCGUUAUAGCAACAGCCUUCAUAGGCUACGUCCUGCCCUGAGGACAAAUAUCAUUCUGAGGAGCUACGGUCAUCACAAAUCUACUAUCAGCUAUCCCUUAUAUCGGAACAGACCUCGUAGAAUGAAUCUGAGGGGGCUUUUCCGUCGACAAAGCAACCCUCACACGAUUCUUCGCCUUCCACUUUAUCCUGCCAUUCAUCAUUACCGCCCUCGCAGCCGUACAUCUCAUAUUCCUGCACGAAACCGGAUCCAACAACCCUACCGGAAUCUCAUCAGACAUAGACAAAAUUCCAUUUCACCCAUACUACACUAUUAAAGACAUUCUAGGAGCCUUAUUUAUAAUACUAAUCCUACUAAUCCUUGUACUAUUCUCACCAGACCUACUAGGAGACCCAGACAACUACACCCCAGCAAACCCACUAAACACCCCACCCCAUAUUAAACCAGAAUGAUAUUUCUUAUUCGCCUACGCUAUUCUACGUUCAAUUCCUAAUAAACUAGGUGGAGUGUUGGCCCUAGUAGCCUCCAUCCUAAUCCUAAUUUUAAUGCCCAUACUGCACACAUCCAAACAACGAGGCAUAAUAUUUCGACCACUAAGUCAAUGCCUAUUCUGAAUACUAGUAGCAGACCUCAUUACACUAACAUGAAUUGGAGGACAACCCGUAGAACACCCGUUCAUCAUCAUCGGCCAACUAGCCUCCAUCUUAUACUUCCUAAUCAUUCUAGUAUUGAUACCAAUCACUAGCAUCAUCGAAAACAACCUAUUAAAAUGAAGAGUCUUCGUAGUAUAUAAAAUACCCUGGUCUUGUAAACCAGAAAAGGAGGGCCACCCCUCCCCAAGACUCAAGGAAGGAGACUAACUCCGCCAUCAGCACCCAAAGCUGAAAUUCUAACUAAACUAUUCCCUGCAACCAAAACAAGCAUUCCAUUCGUAUGCAAACCAAAACGCCAAGUACUUAAUUACUAUCUUUAAAACAAAAAAACCCAUAAAAAUUGCGCACAAACAUACAAAUAUGUGACCCCAAAAAUUUUACCAUUGAAAACCAAAAAAUCUAAUAUACUAUAACCCUAUGUACGUCGUGCAUUAACUGCUAGUCCCCAUGCAUAUAAGCAUGUACAUAUUAUUAUUAAUAUUACAUAGUACAUAUUAUUAUUGAUCGUACAUAGCACAUAUCAUGUCAAAUAACUCCAGUCAACAUGCAUAUCACCACCACUAGAUCACGAGCUUAAUUACCAUGCCGCGUGAAACCAGCAACCCGCUUGGCAGGGAUCCCUCUUCUCGCUCCGGGCCCAUAAACCGUGGGGGUUUCUAUUGAUGAACUUUAACAGGCAUCUGGUUCUUACUUCAGGACCAUCUCACCUAAAAUCGGCCACUCUUUCCCCUUAAAUAAGACAUCUCGAUGGACUAAUGACUAAUCAGCCCAUGCUCACACAUAACUGAGGUUUCAUACAUUUGGUAUUUUUUAAUUUUUGGGGAUGCUUAGACUCAGCCAUGGCCGUCAAAGGCCCUAACACAGUCAAAUCAAUUGUAGCUGGACUUCAUGGAACUCAUGAUCCGGCACGACAAUCCAAACAAGGUGCUAUUCAGUCAAUGGUUACGGGACAUAACGUACAUACACGUGCGUACACGUGCGUACACGUGCGUACACGUGCGUACACGUGCGUACACGUGCGUACACGUGCGUACACGUGCGUACACGUGCGUACACGUGCGUACACGUGCGUACACGUGCGUACACGUGCGUACACGUGCGUACACGUGCGUACACGUGCGUACACGUGCGUACACGUGCGUACACGUGCGUACACGUGCGUACACGUGCGUACACGUGCGUACACGUGCGUACACGUGCGUACACGUGCGUACACGUGCGUACACGUGCGUACACGUGCGUACACGUGCGUACACGCGCAUAUAAGCAGGUAAAUUAUUAGCUCAUUCAAACCCCCCUUACCCCCCAUUAAACUUAUGCUCUACACACCCUAUAACGCCUUGCCAAACCCCAAAAACAAAGCAGAGUGUACAAAUACAAUAAGCCUAACUUACACUAAACAACAUUUAACAACACAAACCACCAUAUCUUAUAAAACACUUACUUAAAUACGUGCUACGAAAGCAGGCACCUACCCCCCUAGAUUUUUACGCCAAUCUACCAUAAAUAAAUUUAAAAUUACAACACAAUAACCUCCCAAAAUAUAAGCACCUAUUUAAGUAUACGCCCACAAUCUGAAUAUAGCUUAUA